This 73-nucleotide transfer RNA is filed under the name Planctomycetota bacterium. RNAcentral's name for it is "Planctomycetes bacterium tRNA-Gly". It matches the Rfam family "tRNA". From Rfam's summary of the family: Transfer RNA (tRNA) molecules are approximately 80 nucleotides in length. Lineage: Bacteria; Pseudomonadati; Planctomycetota. The record is from RNAcentral. RNAcentral also lists the same sequence under 1 other name.
GCGGGUGUAGCUCAAUUGGCAGAGCUCCAGCCUUCCAAGCUGGAUGUUGGGAGGUCGAACCUCCUCACCCGCU